GGUUAUAGCUCAGUGGUAGAGCGGUUGCCUAGCAUGCAUGAGGCACUGGGUUCAAUCCCCAGCACCA
Molecule: transfer RNA, 67 nt
Filed under: Marmota marmota marmota (Alpine marmot)
Lineage: Eukaryota; Metazoa; Chordata; Mammalia; Rodentia; Sciuridae
Also listed under: 1 other name
Rfam family: tRNA
About the family: Transfer RNA (tRNA) molecules are approximately 80 nucleotides in length.
Source: Rfam by way of RNAcentral